UGACGUUUACCUGCACUCCAUUGAGAGAGGCGACUCCCAUGUACAGGAAGACUCCGUACAGCACCGGCAUCGGGAUGAACUGGAGCAUAGAGAUGGAAAAAUACACAUGAACUUAAAACAUUCCUCUUACAAUCCAUUCUGUCAUUUACAUUCACAAAUGCUGUUCUAAAAAAAAUGCAGCUUUCACAAAACAAGCUGAACAUUUCAGCUUAAUGUGGGAAAAAUCACUCCACUGUAUUCCACUGGUUCUGAAUUUUAAGUGUGAAAUCUACACAGGUCACUCUAAACGUCUUUCCGUUAAAUCUACUGUAGAUGCUGCUAAGAAACCCACAGUGCAAAGCAUUUAGUCUCAGUGAUGAUUCAAAAUCAGAUCAUAAAUCAGAAUCGCAAUAGAAAUAUUUCAGCUGUGACAUUCUGAUGUAGAUUUCAGUUUCAGAAGUGACAGAUUCAGAGACGUAAAUAGGUUCAACUUGGCCUAAAACAACAACACUGGUACCAGGGGUCCGUUUCACGAAGCAGGUUCAACAAACUCUGAGUUUAACCCUGAACUCUGAGUUGAUCUACUCUGAGAUAGAAAACUCUGAGUUUUCGGUUUCACAACGGCUGAUUUGAGUUGGUUAAAUCAACUCGGAGUAGUUUCACCCGGAGUUAAGCGCGUGCACCACAACUCUGAAAAGCCAGUAUCAAUGGAGCGCCGAUUCGACGAGUCACCAUGGCAACGGGGAAGCGGAGGACUACGUUUUUUACACCACUUGAACUGGACAUCUUAAUUCGUUCAUAUGGCGACUUCGAACACGUUUUUAGAAAGAAGUGCAACACCUGCAGCUGCAAAAGAGAGAGAGACGGUGUGGGAGAACAUUGCUGCCUGGGUCAAUGCGUAAGUUUAAAUCACAAUAAUAUUACAGGAAAACUGUUUGAAUAGUAGACUAUUAAGUUAUUUCAUUUAGGUGCAAUCCUGCAGGGGAGAAGCACAUGUGGCAGCAGCUGAAGAUGAAAUAUAAAAACAUUUUUAAAACAGGUAAGAAGUCGGCAUAAUCUCAUGGAGCUUCCUCAUUUUGAUCAUGUUUUACAUUGUAAAGUAGCCUAAAUAUUAGGUGGCUGUUUGACUGUGCAGUGGUUUUAUUCCACACACAGCCUAAAUGUCUGCAUCCAUAUCAUGUUCUGUCAAACAAUUAAGCCUAUUUAAACUAACACAGACUUCCACUCAGCCAACAGAAAGAAAGCAGAUGCCUGUAAAAAGGGAGGUGGCCCAGCACCACCACCUGUAACGGAGGCAGAGGAGCUGGUCCUAAGCCAGAAUUUGGAAAGGCCAGUGGCUGAGGGAAUCCCUGGAGGGAGCUCAUCCUCUGAGACCACAUCCCAAGACACAAGUGCUUUUAUAAAAUGUAAUAUGCCUGUGUGUAUAUACAUAUAUAUAUAUGUGUGUGUGUGUGUGUGUGUGUGUAGCCCACAGUGUGUUUUCAAGCAUAUUCAUACAAAUAUUUAUUUCUCUUUUGGGUCUUUUUUCUUUUGGCCCAACAAAUUCUGAUGGUACUAUCUGCCUGGUGGAGCCCCUUCACACCACAACAGACCUUGUAACUGAUGAAGAGGAUGAAACUGUGUCUGCUGCCUUUACAGAGGGGGAUCCAGAAAGGCAUCUAGAGAGCAUGGCUGGACAGCAGCAGGAUGCUUCCUCAACUUCCACUGCACAGAUUGACACAGUGAGAUGGAUGUUCAGUAAACACCAGAGGUUCAGUCCAUGGAAUUCAUGUGCAACUGUCUAAUUUAAUGCCCUCCGUGUAUUCCCAGUUACCAGUAAAACAAAUAUACAAAAUGCACUUGCUGAGAAAAAUCUAAAAAACAGAUGAAGAAAUGCAAUACUUGGACCACCAGAUUAGGAGGGCAGAUCUGGAAAUUGAAAUACUGGAGCACAAGUCAGAGGUGGAUGCAGGUCACAGGUGAAUUAUGUUAACUAUUGCAACAUUAACUAAACUAGCUCUUUUAUUUGUAGGAAAUAAAGAAGACCAAAUGAAAUGUGUAUCAUGUGUUUAUU
Amphiprion ocellaris (clown anemonefish) is the source of this 2032-nucleotide long non-coding RNA. RefSeq lists it as uncharacterized. The record is from RefSeq and is a predicted model, not a curated record. The transcript is spliced from 3 exons. Lineage: Eukaryota; Metazoa; Chordata; Actinopteri; Pomacentridae.